GCACUGGUAGUGUCCGGGACACGCCGCCUUCAAAUUGUGCUCCUAGAAAAGGUCGGAUUUGGCGGAGUCGGGGUUCGACUCCCCACUGGUGCA
This is a non-coding RNA of Mycena galericulata, 93 nucleotides long. Lineage: Eukaryota; Fungi; Basidiomycota; Agaricomycetes; Agaricales; Mycenaceae. The record is from the annotation of a GenBank genome assembly.